UGGGAAGAACAGAGCCGCGAC
RNAcentral lists this microRNA (21 nucleotides) under Canis lupus familiaris (dog). RNAcentral describes it as "cfa-miR-8808". Lineage: Eukaryota; Metazoa; Chordata; Mammalia; Carnivora; Canidae. The record is from miRBase by way of RNAcentral.